Hydractinia symbiolongicarpus is the source of this 579-nucleotide long non-coding RNA. RefSeq lists it as uncharacterized. Lineage: Eukaryota; Metazoa; Cnidaria; Hydrozoa; Anthoathecata; Hydractiniidae. The record is from RefSeq and is a predicted model, not a curated record. The transcript is spliced from 3 exons.
CGUACUUAUUGCAUUUUUUACUAAACUUAUACUUUAACCCCUCGGUCCAAACUUAUUUGUUUUAUUAGAAAAGAAAAUACCCUAGCUUUACGUGCAAAAAUAUCAGUCCUAUUUCUUUACGCUGAUUUUAUAUGAUUUUUUUUCUAUCGAAAUUUUGAGAAUCUCAAUAAUUCUCUUGGUAUACCUCGCGUGUAGCAAACGUGCUCCACAAUUUCGCUUUGCUCGCUUCGCUCGCAAAGCUCAAUUGCUUCGCAAUAAGCGCAAGAAAUGAACACAUAAAACUUGGUACUUAUUACAAAAAUACCAAUGGGUUUGUUUACAAAGAAGCAGCCUUGAUGUUGUUUGAUGUUGUUCUUACAGAAUAUUCUCAGAAAUAAUAGACCAAAAGAAAUUACAUCACAGUUUCUUGUCCACCGCCCACGUGUGAGAACAACCCACACAAAAAAAUUGUGUGCAAUGGGAGUGAGUGAUGUAAUCUUUCAAUGCGUGUGAUGAAAAGAAAGCGAAACCGUUAUUGUUUUUUCUGCCCAAAAUUGAAGCUAUUUAAUAAAUCUUGAUAAAGUUAAAAAACUGUUUUGA